GAUGAACGCUAGCGGCAGGCCUAAUACAUGCAAGUCGGACGGGAUUCAGGAGCUUGCUUCUGAUGAGAGUGGCGCACGGGUGCGUAACACGUAUGUAACCUACCUUUCUCAGGGGGAUAGCCUCUCGAAAGAGAGAUUAAGCCCGCAUAAAAUCACAGCACAGCCUUGUGUAAUGAUCAAAUAUUUAUAGGUUAAUGAUGGGCAUGCGGAACAUCAGCUAGAUGGCGGGGUAACGGCACAGCAUGGCGACGAUGUUUAGGGGAUCUGAGAGGAUGGCCCCCCAGAAUGGUACUACGGCACAGACCAGAAUGCUACGGGAGGCAGCAGUAAGUAAUAUUAGGCAAGGAAGGGAAGCCUAGACCAGCCGUGCCGGGUGCAGAAAGCCGGCGCUACGAGAUGUAAGCUGCUUUUAAACGAGAAUAAACCCAGAUACGAGGAUCUGGCUGAAUGUACUGUAAGAAUAAGGAUCGGCUAACUCCGUG
Molecule: ribosomal RNA, 482 nt
Filed under: uncultured bacterium
Lineage: Bacteria
Description: partial 16S ribosomal RNA
Rfam family: Bacterial small subunit ribosomal RNA
Source: RNAcentral